AGCGGCAGGCGGGUGAGUAACGCGUGGGAACGUACCUUUUGGUUCGGAACAACACAGAGAAACUUGUGCUAAUACCGGAUAAGCCCUUACGGGGAAAGAUUUAUCGCUGGAGGAUUGGCCCGCGUCCGAUUAGCUGGUUGGCGGGGUAACGGCCCACCAAGGCGACGAUCGGUAGCUGGUCUGAGAGGAUGAUCAGCCACAUUGGGACUGAGACACGGCCCAAACUCCUACGGGAGGCAGCAGUGGGGAAUAUUGGACAAUGGGCGCAAGCCUGAUCCAGCCAUGCCGCGUGAGUGAUGACGGCCUUAGGGUUGUAAAGCUCUUUCGCUCGGGACGAUAAUGACGGUACCGAGAGAAGAAGCCCCGGCCAACUUCGUGCCAGCAGCCGCGGUAAUACGAAGGGGGCUAGCGUUGUUCGGAAUUACUGGGCGUAAAGCGCGUGUAGGCGGGUCUUUAAGUCAGGGGUGAAAUGCCGAGGCUCAACCUUGGAACUGCCUUUGAUACUGGAGACCUUGAGUCCGGGAGAGGUGAGUGGAACUGCGAGUGUAGAGGUGAAAUUCGUAGAUAUUCGCAAGAACACCAGUGGCGAAGGCGGCUCACUGGCCCGGAACUGACGCUGAGACGCGAAAGCGUGGGGAGCAAACAGGAUUAGAUACCCUGGUAGUCCACGCUGUAAACGAUGGAUGCUAGCCGUUGGGGAGCUUGCUCUUCAGUGGCGCAGCCAACGCUUUAAGCAUCCCGCCUGGGGAGUACGGUCGCAAGAUUAAAACUCAAAGGAAUUGACGGGGGCCCGCACAAGCGGUGGAGCAUGUGGUUUAAUUCGA
Molecule: ribosomal RNA, 824 nt
Filed under: uncultured bacterium
Lineage: Bacteria
Description: bacterial SSU rRNA
Rfam family: Bacterial small subunit ribosomal RNA
Source: RNAcentral